Molecule: transfer RNA, 90 nt
Filed under: Arceuthobium abietis-religiosae
Lineage: Eukaryota; Viridiplantae; Streptophyta; Magnoliopsida; Santalales; Viscaceae
Description: tRNA-Leu
Source: RNAcentral
ACGCUACGAACUCAAUUUUGACUGAGCCUUUUAUCAUAGGAAAAUCCGUUAACUUUAGAAAUCGUGAGGAUUCAAGUCCCUCUAUCCCCA